Molecule: non-coding RNA, 47 nt
Filed under: Trichobilharzia regenti
Lineage: Eukaryota; Metazoa; Platyhelminthes; Trematoda; Strigeidida; Schistosomatidae
Source: RNAcentral
GUACUGAUGGAGAGUCCAAAUACUGGGACGAAACAGCUGUCCAGUAC